Molecule: ribosomal RNA, 769 nt
Filed under: Paenisporosarcina macmurdoensis
Lineage: Bacteria; Bacillati; Bacillota; Bacilli; Caryophanales; Caryophanaceae
Description: bacterial SSU rRNA
Rfam family: Bacterial small subunit ribosomal RNA
Source: RNAcentral
UGCAAGUCGAGCGGAAUGAUGAAGAAGCUUGCUUCUUCUGAUUUUAGCGGCGGACGGGUGAGUAACACGUGGGCAACCUACCUUGUAGAUUGGGAUAACUCCGGGAAACCGGGGCUAAUACCGAAUAAUCCAUUUUGCUUCAUGGCAGAAUGUUGAAAGACGGUUUCGGCUGUCACUACGAGAUGGGCCCGCGGCGUAUUAGCUAGUUGGUAGGGUAAUGGCCUACCAAGGCGACGAUACGUAGCCGACCUGAGAGGGUGAUCGGCCACACUGGGACUGAGACACGGCCCAGACUCCUACGGGAGGCAGCAGUAGGGAAUCUUCCACAAUGGACGAAAGUCUGAUGGAGCAACGCCGCGUGAGUGAAGAAGGUUUUCGGAUCGUAAAACUCUGUUGUAAGGGAAGAACACGUACGAGAGUAACUGCUCGUACCUUGACGGUACCUUAUUAGAAAGCCACGGCUAACUACGUGCCAGCAGCCGCGGUAAUACGUAGGUGGCAAGCGUUGUCCGGAAUUAUUGGGCGUAAAGCGCGCGCAGGCGGUCCUUUAAGUCUGAUGUGAAAGCCCACGGCUCAACCGUGGAGGGUCAUUGGAAACUGGGGGACUUGAGUACAGAAGAGGAAAGCGGAAUUCCACGUGUAGCGGUGAAAUGCGUAGAGAUGUGGAGGAACACCAGUGGCGAAGGCGGCUUUCUGGUCUGUAACUGACGCUGAGGCGCGAAAGCGUGUGGAGCAAACAGGAUUAGAUACCCUGGUAGUCCACGCCGUA